Helicoverpa armigera (cotton bollworm) is the source of this 2304-nucleotide long non-coding RNA. RefSeq lists it as uncharacterized. The record is from RefSeq and is a predicted model, not a curated record. NCBI's taxonomy places the organism in Eukaryota, Metazoa, Arthropoda, Insecta, Lepidoptera, Noctuidae. The transcript has 2 exons.
UUAUGGGCCAAAAUACUUUUUGAUGCCUAAAAACUGGUCCCUCCGAAAGAAUAAUUAAUUUUAUGGGAUAUCAGUACAAAAUUGCGCAAAAAGUAUACUUAUAUCGAAAUAUAACAUUAUUUUCUAACGCAGAAAACAAGAUUUGACCGGGAAAAUAUGUUAUUUAUCCUAAAAUUGCAGUAACAACGUUGUAAUUUUUGGUAACGCAGUCGUUCUUAGUACAAAAUAUUGCUGUCCUUGAGCACUGUGCCAAGAUGUACUUAGCUAUUUCUCAGAAUAUUUCCUAGGUGGCGUUGAAUCUUAAAUGUCCCUACGAAAAUGUAACAUUUGAACCUUAUUACAACGCCAGUAGAUAUUUUUUACAUUAAAUAUUUCAUGGAAUAAAAAAAUAUUUUGUCUGUGUCCCCAACAAAGAACAAAAUCGUAACUACCUUGCGUUGCUAUAUAAAAAUAAACCUUAAAGAUGGUUUGUUACAUUUUAUUUCACUUCAUUUGGUUCGACUUAUUGUAACUAUUAGAAUGAAUGAUAGCAACUGCGCGGGGGGAGACCGCUAGUCGGAUCAGUCGCGACGCAGUCGUUGAGAGAGGUGCGUGCGUUUAUUGCGUGGCCGCUGAGUUACCGCUGUCGAAAGAAAGAAGCUUCUGCACUAAAUGGCGUUAACGAACGCAGAAAAGCAACACUUGUAAAAGAUAUGACAGAGCGUGAACACAGAAAUAUCAAGCGUAAAUGGAAGACUGCGAACAAGAAACGACGAGAACGUCAAAAGUGUGCUCAACAAAUUAUGAACAUUGCACCAUCGUCCAGCCCACGGCCAGGAACUCCAGUUUCACCGAGAUCUAGAGGCCGAAGACAAUUACGAAGAGAUCGCUCUGCAGUUUACAGAAAAAAUCUGAAAAUUCAGGAAGAACUCGAAAAGAUGAAACGGCUGUGCGAUAAAUACAAAAAGAGAUACCAACGAGCUAAAUCCGCAAUCAAUGACAAGAAAAAAGUAAAUAAGCUUAACCAAAACAAGUAUUCAACGUUAUCUAAUGCAAUCAAAGACCAUUACAAAAGUUUGAAGUCAUUGAGAGAGAAGAAAGCCUUAAAACGAAUUUUCCAAGGAGAAGGCAUAGGAAUCAUUAAGAUUACUGCGUUACCAAAGUGUCAUUUUAAAACAUAAACUUUCCUAUUAAUAACAAAAAACAACUUAUAUUUAAUACCACCUAAUGGCAUAACCUUCCACUUUUGAUCAAUAAUACGUCCGUAAGAGGUUCAGGCAUUUAAGAUCACUAGAAGCCCAUGUAUUACUGAAAUUACUACAAUAAUCAAAGGGACACAAAAGUAACGCAGUAGUAAGCUUAGUAACACAGUAGUAUUUUCUUACAUAGUAAACUAUAUUUUGUACUUACUAUAGAGAUCUGUUAUAAUGAUAAAACAAAACAAAAUUUUACUUCUUAUUAAGUGAUAUAGUAUCAAGUAACUCAAAUAAAUUCAAAAACAACAAACUUAGAAAAUUAAAUACAAAUAAUUCAGUCUUACUUUCGAUAUACGUUAAUUGCUUCAUCGUAAUAAAAAUAUACCCUUUUACCUUUUGCGAUAACUUUAGGGUUAGGGACAAUUUCCAAGAUGUUAUCGUAAGGCUCGUAAGAAAUAUCAGUCUCCACUGCUAUGAAUCUUUUGCCAGUUUUAUCUACCAUCUUGUAAAACAUAAUUUUUACGUCUCCUUCUUCAUCGACUUCACUUUUAGCAACGCCGAGGUAAGUGUAGUGUUUGUCUUUGACAGAAGAUUAUUUUUUUAAUUUUAAUUUUCUAAGUUUGUUGUUUUUGAAUUUAUUUGAGUUACUUGAUACUAUAUCACUUAAUAAGAAGUAAAAUUUUGUUUUGUUUUAUCAUUAUAACAGAUCUCUAUAGUAAGUACAAAGUAUAGUUUACUAUGUAAGAAAAUACUACUGUGUUACUAAGCUUACUACUGCGUUACUUUUGUGUCCCUUUGAUUAUUGUAGUAAUUUCAGUAAUACAUGGGCUUCUAGUGAUCUUAAAUGCCUGAACCUCUUACGGACGUAUUAUUGAUCAAAAGUGGAAGGUUAUGCCAUUAGGUGGUAUUAAAUAUAAGUUGUUUUUUGUUAUUAAUAGGAAAGUUUAUGUUUUAAAAUGGCACUUUGGUAACGCAGUAAUCUUAAUGAUUAAGAAUACUCCAUGAAACUGAUUAUUUCUGUGAUUUAACUUACUAAGAGCUAAAUGUAAGCGUUACAGUUUAAAACUGGCAUAUUGAAAAGUCUGAUUGUGCAAUUUUAAUUAAAAAAGUUAAUUUUGUAAAAAAGUAA